Molecule: long non-coding RNA, 563 nt
Filed under: Gallus gallus (chicken)
Lineage: Eukaryota; Metazoa; Chordata; Aves; Galliformes; Phasianidae
Source: RNAcentral
UGUCAGUUCUGGAAACGGCUUGUCCAGCCUCAGAUCCUCUAAUGCAUUGUCAGGAUGAGAUUCAACAACUGGAUGCUCCUUGAUGAUGAUUCUCAUAUAACCAACCAGUCCAUAAGUCCUACAGAUCAGCAAAGGAAUGUUAGAAUUCCAGAGGAGUUCAGCUAAACGUAGCACUGUACUUUCCGAUAGCUGUGUUGCAACCACUAAGUUAAAUCGAUUAAAGAAGGAGGGGUCGUUGUCUAGAAGUGUUUCUGGACUCUCUUCCACAAAGUUUCCAGAAACAUCAUUAUUCAACUCCUGCAGAAGUUCAGUAGCACUCUGGGCACGACUCUGACCAAUGUGGCUUUUUUGAAGAAAGAAAUUAUUUCCAACGUCUUCUCCGGAUACCCGAUUCCCAUCCACAAUUGUAAAUGAACCAAUACCAGGUAGCACUAAGUUUUUGAGUAUUUCAGUCCCUGUGGCCGUCGCAUUUAUCACACAAACAUGGGCUGACUCUAAAGCUUCUUGUCCAUGGUCACCCCACAGUCUCAGCUGCCGGUCGUAGCGCUGCUCCUUGAGGCUGG